RNAcentral lists this ribosomal RNA (497 nucleotides) under uncultured bacterium. RNAcentral's name for it is "partial 16S ribosomal RNA". It matches the Rfam family "Bacterial small subunit ribosomal RNA", at positions 28 to 507 of the family's 1533-position model. The record is from RNAcentral.
GAUGAACGCUGGCGGCGUGCCUAAUACAUGCAAGUCGAGCGAAAAGAUGAGGAGCUUGCCUCUCUGACGUUAGCGGCGGACGGGAGAGUAACAAGUGGAUAACCUACCUAUAAGACUGGGAUAACUUCGGGAAACCGGAGCUAAUACCGGAUAAUAUAUUGAACCGCAUGGUUCAAUAGUGAAAGACGGUGUUGCUGUCACUUAUAGAUGGAUCCGCGCCGCAUUAGAUAGUUGGUAAGGUAACGGCUUACCAAGGCGACGAUGCGUAGCCGACCUGAGAGGAUGAUCGGCCACACUGGGACUGAGACACGGUCCAGACUCCUACGGGAGGCAGCAGUGGGGAAUCUUGGACAAAGGGCGAAAGCCUGAUCGAGCAACGCCGCGUGCAUGAUGAAGGUCUUCGGGUUGUAAAACGCUUUUGUUAGGGACGAACAGGUGUGGGAGAAAAUAUGGGGGUCAUGACGGUACCGAAAGAAUAAGCACCGGCUAACUACGUG